Molecule: ribosomal RNA, 2900 nt
Filed under: Escherichia coli
Lineage: Bacteria; Pseudomonadati; Pseudomonadota; Gammaproteobacteria; Enterobacterales; Enterobacteriaceae
Description: 23S ribosomal RNA
Rfam family: Bacterial large subunit ribosomal RNA
Source: RNAcentral
GGUUAAGCGACUAAGCGUACACGGUGGAUGCCCUGGCAGUCAGAGGCGAUGAAGGACGUGCUAAUCUGCGAUAAGCGUCGGUGAGGUGAUAUGAACCGUUAUAACCGGCGAUUUCCGAAUGGGGAAACCCAGUGUGAUUCGUCACACUAUCAUUAACUGAAUCCAUAGGUUAAUGAGGCGAACCGGGGAACUGAAACAUCUAAGUACCCCGAGGAAAAGAAAUCAACCGAGAUUCCCCCAGUAGCGGCGAGCGAACGGGGAGCAGCCCAGAGCCUGAAUCAGUGUGUGUGUUAGUGGAAGCGUCUGGAAAGGCGCGCGAUACAGGGUGACAGCCCCGUACACAAAAAUGCACAUAUUGUGAGCUCGAUGAGUAGGGCGGGACACGUGGUAUCCUGUCUGAAUAUGGGGGACCAUCCUCCAAGGCUAAAUACUCCUGACUGACCGAUAGUGAACCAGUACCGUGAGGGAAAGGCGAAAAGAACCCCGGCGAGGGGAGUGAAAAAGAACCUGAAACCGUGUACGUACAAGCAGUGGGAGCCUCUUUUAUGGGGUGACUGCGUACCUUUUGUAUAAUGGGUCAGCGACUUAUAUUCUGUAGCAAGGUUAACCGAAUAGGGGAGCCGAAGGGAAACCGAGUCUUAACUGGGCGUUAAGUUGCAGGGUAUAGACCCGAAACCCGGUGAUCUAGCCAUGGGCAGGUUGAAGGUUGGGUAACACUAACUGGAGGACCGAACCGACUAAUGUUGAAAAAUUAGCGGAUGACUUGUGGCUGGGGGUGAAAGGCCAAUCAAACCGGGAGAUAGCUGGUUCUCCCCGAAAGCUAUUUAGGUAGCGCCUCGUGAAUUCAUCUCCGGGGGUAGAGCACUGUUUCGGCAAGGGGGUCAUCCCGACUUACCAACCCGAUGCAAACUGCGAAUACCGGAGAAUGUUAUCACGGGAGACACACGGCGGGUGCUAACGUCCGUCGUGAAGAGGGAAACAACCCAGACCGCCAGCUAAGGUCCCAAAGUCAUGGUUAAGUGGGAAACGAUGUGGGAAGGCCCAGACAGCCAGGAUGUUGGCUUAGAAGCAGCCAUCAUUUAAAGAAAGCGUAAUAGCUCACUGGUCGAGUCGGCCUGCGCGGAAGAUGUAACGGGGCUAAACCAUGCACCGAAGCUGCGGCAGCGACGCUGAUGCGUUGUUGGGUAGGGGAGCGUUCUGUAAGCCUGUGAAGGUGUGCUGUGAGGCAUGCUGGAGGUAUCAGAAGUGCGAAUGCUGACAUAAGUAACGAUAAAGCGGGUGAAAAGCCCGCUCGCCGGAAGACCAAGGGUUCCUGUCCAACGUUAAUCGGGGCAGGGUGAGUCGACCCCUAAGGCGAGGCCGAAAGGCGUAGUCGAUGGGAAACAGGUUAAUAUUCCUGUACUUGGUGUUACUGCGAAGGGGGACGGAGAAGGCUAUGUUGGCCGGGCGACGGUUGUCCCGGUUUAAGCGUGUAGGCUGGUUUUCCAGGCAAAUCCGGAAAAUCAAGGCUGAGGCGUGAUGACGAGGCACUACGGUGCUGAAGCAACAAAUGCCCUGCUUCCAGGAAAAGCCUCUAAGCAUCAGGUAACAUCAAAUCGUACCCCAAACCGACACAGGUGGUCAGGUAGAGAAUACCAAGGCGCUUGAGAGAACUCGGGUGAAGGAACUAGGCAAAAUGGUGCCGUAACUUCGGGAGAAGGCACGCUGAUAUGUAGGUGAAGUCCCUCGCGGAUGGAGCUGAAAUCAGUCGAAGAUACCAGCUGGCUGCAACUGUUUAUUAAAAACACAGCACUGUGCAAACACGAAAGUGGACGUAUACGGUGUGACGCCUGCCCGGUGCCGGAAGGUUAAUUGAUGGGGUCAGCGCAAGCGAAGCUCUUGAUCGAAGCCCCGGUAAACGGCGGCCGUAACUAUAACGGUCCUAAGGUAGCGAAAUUCCUUGUCGGGUAAGUUCCGACCUGCACGAAUGGCGUAAUGAUGGCCAGGCUGUCUCCACCCGAGACUCAGUGAAAUUGAACUCGCUGUGAAGAUGCAGUGUACCCGCGGCAAGACGGAAAGACCCCGUGAACCUUUACUAUAGCUUGACACUGAACAUUGAGCCUUGAUGUGUAGGAUAGGUGGGAGGCUUAGAAGUGUGGACGCCAGUCUGCAUGGAGCCGACCUUGAAAUACCACCCUUUAAUGUUUGAUGUUCUAACGUGGACCCGUGAUCCGGGUUGCGGACAGUGUCUGGUGGGUAGUUUGACUGGGGCGGUCUCCUCCUAAAGAGUAACGGAGGAGCACGAAGGUUGGCUAAUCCUGGUCGGACAUCAGGAGGUUAGUGCAAUGGCAUAAGCCAGCUUGACUGCGAGCGUGACGGCGCGAGCAGGUGCGAAAGCAGGUCAUAGUGAUCCGGUGGUUCUGAAUGGAAGGGCCAUCGCUCAACGGAUAAAAGGUACUCCGGGGAUAACAGGCUGAUACCGCCCAAGAGUUCAUAUCGACGGCGGUGUUUGGCACCUCGAUGUCGGCUCAUCACAUCCUGGGGCUGAAGUAGGUCCCAAGGGUAUGGCUGUUCGCCAUUUAAAGUGGUACGCGAGCUGGGUUUAGAACGUCGUGAGACAGUUCGGUCCCUAUCUGCCGUGGGCGCUGGAGAACUGAGGGGGCUGCUCCUAGUACGAGAGGACCGGAGUGGACGCAUCACUGGUGUUCGGGUUGUCAUGCCAAUGGCACUGCCCGGUAGCUAAAUGCGGAAGAGAUAAGUGCUGAAAGCAUCUAAGCACGAAACUUGCCCCGAGAUGAGUUCUCCCUGACCCUUUAAGGGUCCUGAAGGAACGUUGAAGACGACGACGUUGAUAGGCCGGGUGUGUAAGCGCAGCGAUGCGUUGAGCUAACCGGUACUAAUGAACCGUGAGGCUUAACCUU